Molecule: ribosomal RNA, 2313 nt
Filed under: Campylobacter jejuni
Lineage: Bacteria; Pseudomonadati; Campylobacterota; Epsilonproteobacteria; Campylobacterales; Campylobacteraceae
Description: partial 23S ribosomal RNA
Rfam family: Bacterial large subunit ribosomal RNA
Source: RNAcentral
CAUAAUGAGCCUGCGAGUUGUGGUGUCUGGCAAGGUUAAGCAAACGCGAAGCCGUAGCGAAAGCGAGUCUGAAUAGGGCGCUUAGUCAGAUGCUGCAGACCCGAAACGAAGUGAUCUAUCCAUGAGCAAGUUGAAGCUAGUGUAAGAACUAGUGGAGGACUGAACCCAUAGGCGUUGAAAAGCCCCGGGAUGACUUGUGGAUAGGGGUGAAAGGCCAAUCAAACUUCGUGAUAGCUGGUUCUCUCCGAAAUAUAUUUAGGUAUAGCGUUGUGUCGUAAUAUAAGGGGGUAGAGCACUGAAUGGGCUAGGGCAUACACCAAUGUACCAAACCCUAUCAAACUCCGAAUACCUUAUAUGUAAUCACAGCAGUCAGGCGGCGAGUGAUAAAAUCCGUCGUCAAGAGGGAAACAACCCAGACUACCAGCUAAGGUCCCUAAAUCUUACUUAAGUGGAAAACGAUGUGAAGUUACUUAAACAACCAGGAGGUUGGCUUAGAAGCAGCCAUCCUUUAAAGAAAGCGUAAUAGCUCACUGGUCUAGUGAUUUUGCGCGGAAAAUAUAACGGGGCUAAAGUAAGUACCGAAGCUGUAGACUUAGUUUACUAAGUGGUAGGAGAGCGUUCUAUUUGCGUCGAAGGUAUACCGGUAAGGAGUGCUGGAGCGAAUAGAAGUGAGCAUGCAGGCAUGAGUAGCGAUAAUUAAUGUGAGAAUCAUUAACGCCGUAAACCCAAGGUUUCCUACGCGAUGCUCGUCAUCGUAGGGUUAGUCGGGUCCUAAGUCGAGUCCGAAAGGGGUAGACGAUGGCAAAUUGGUUAAUAUUCCAAUACCAACAUUAGUGUGCGAUGGAAGGACGCUUAGGGCUAAGGGGGCUAGCGGAUGGAAGUGCUAGUCUAAGGUCGUAGGAGGUUGUACAGGCAAAUCCGUAUAACAAUACUCCGAGAACUGAAAGGCUUUUUGAAGUCUUCGGAUGGAUAGAAGAACCCCUGAUGCCGUCGAGCCAAGAAAAGUUUCUAAGUUUAGCUAAUGUUGCCCGUACCGUAAACCGACACAGGUGGGUGGGAUGAGUAUUCUAAGGCGCGUGGAAGAACUCUCUUUAAGGAACUCUGCAAAAUAGCACCGUAUCUUCGGUAUAAGGUGUGGUUAGCUUUGUAUUAGGAUUUACUCCGAAAGCAAGGAAACUUACAACAAAGAGUCCCUCCCGACUGUUUACCAAAAACACAGCACUCUGCUAACUCGUAAGAGGAUGUAUAGGGUGUGACGCCUGCCCGGUGCUCGAAGGUUAAUUGAUGGGGUUAGCAUUAGCGAAGCUCUUGAUCGAAGCCCGAGUAAACGGCGGCCGUAACUAUAACGGUCCUAAGGUAGCGAAAUUCCUUGUCGGUUAAAUACCGACCUGCAUGAAUGGCGUAACGAGAUGGGAGCUGUCUCAAAGAGGGAUCCAGUGAAAUUGUAGUGGAGGUGAAAAUUCCUCCUACCCGCGGCAAGACGGAAAGACCCCGUGGACCUUUACUACAGCUUGACACUGCUACUUGGAUAAGAAUGUGCAGGAUAGGUGGGAGGCUUUGAGUAUAUGACGCCAGUUGUAUAUGAGCCAUUGUUGAGAUACCACUCUUUCUUAUUUGGGUAGCUAACCAGCUUGAGUUAUCCUCAAGUGGGACAAUGUCUGGUGGGUAGUUUGACUGGGGCGGUCGCCUCCCAAAUAAUAACGGAGGCUUACAAAGGUUGGCUCAGAACGGUUGGAAAUCGUUCGUAGAGUAUAAAGGUAUAAGCCAGCUUAACUGCAAGACAUACAAGUCAAGCAGAGACGAAAGUCGGUCUUAGUGAUCCGGUGGUUCUGUGUGGAAGGGCCAUCGCUCAAAGGAUAAAAGGUACCCCGGGGAUAACAGGCUGAUCUCCCCCAAGAGCUCACAUCGACGGGGAGGUUUGGCACCUCGAUGUCGGCUCAUCGCAUCCUGGGGCUGGAGCAGGUCCCAAGGGUAUGGCUGUUCGCCAUUUAAAGCGGUACGCGAGCUGGGUUCAGAACGUCGUGAGACAGUUCGGUCCCUAUCUGCCGUGGGCGUAAGAAGAUUGAAGAGAUUUGACCCUAGUACGAGAGGACCGGGUUGAACAAACCACUGGUGUAGCUGUUGUUCUGCCAAGAGCAUCGCAGCGUAGCUAAGUUUGGAAAGGAUAAACGCUGAAAGCAUCUAAGCGUGAAGCCAACUCUAAGAUGAAUCUUCUCUAAGCUCUCUAGAAGACUACUAGUUUGAUAGGCUGGGUGUGUAAUGGAUGAAAGUCCUUUAGCUGACCAGUACUAAUAGAGCGUUUGGCUUAUCUUU